GCAAUAUUCAUAGUCGUUAUCACUGUUUUGCGCCUGUUAUACAUUUUAUCGAUCACCGGAUACCGAUUAUACCAACGCCUACUGAUAAACAAGGAAAAAAAGUUACUGUAGUAUUAAGCAGUUAAAAAGAGCGUGUAGAUAAUUUAUAUUUAAAAAAUAAAACGGAUAUGGACCUAGUGCUGCUUAUUGGAAUAGCAAUAUUCAUGGCGAUCAUUGCAAUGUUACGUCCGAACCAGAAUGGAGGCUUAGACUGGUGCCUUUACCGAGCCGUAAUAUACUAUAACUUUGCCCUGUUUUGAGUCAAUGCUUGCGCACUUUACUCGGGAUUGGGCUAUGCCUCUAAUUACCAAGGGAAGGAUGAAUUGAACUGGAUAUUUGCUAGGAUUGAGUUGAAAAUUACUAAACGAUUGGAAACCAUCACCAACUGAACAAUUGAAUUUAGGAAGUCUAACAUUUAUGAUAAUUCAGCAAAAAUUAAAGAGUACCUUCACCAAUAAUAAUUUGAUUGUGCUUA
Molecule: long non-coding RNA, 514 nt
Organism: Cephus cinctus (wheat stem sawfly)
Lineage: Eukaryota; Metazoa; Arthropoda; Insecta; Hymenoptera; Cephidae
Exons: 2
Source: RefSeq, a predicted model, not a curated record